GACGAACGCUGGCGGCGUGCUUAACACAUGCAAGUCGAACGGAAAGGCCCUGCUUUUGUGGGGUGCUCGAGUGGCGAACGGGUGAGUAACACGUGAGUAACCUGCCCUUGACUUUGGGAUAACUUCAGGAAACUGGGGCUAAUACCGGAUAGGAGCUCCUGCUGCAUGGUGGGGGUUGGAAAGUUUCGGCGGUUGGGGAUGGACUCGCGGCUUAUCAGCUUGUUGGUGGGGUAGUGGCUUACCAAGGCUUUGACGGGUAGCCGGCCUGAGAGGGUGACCGGCCACAUUGGGACUGGGAUACGGCCCAGACUCCUACGGGAGGCAGCAGUGGGGAAUAUUGCACAAUGGGCGGAAGCCUGAUGCAGCAACGCCGCGUGCGGGAUGACGGCCUUCGGGUUGUAAACCGCUUUCGCCUGUGACGAAGCGUGAGUGACGGUAAUGGGUAAAGGAGCACCGGCUAACUACGUG
Molecule: ribosomal RNA, 468 nt
Filed under: uncultured bacterium
Lineage: Bacteria
Description: partial 16S ribosomal RNA
Rfam family: Bacterial small subunit ribosomal RNA
Source: RNAcentral